This 93-nucleotide transfer RNA is filed under the name Phaeobacter italicus. RNAcentral describes it as "tRNA-???(ct)". The record is from RNAcentral. Lineage: Bacteria; Pseudomonadati; Pseudomonadota; Alphaproteobacteria; Rhodobacterales; Roseobacteraceae.
GGGUGUGGUGGCGCGCGGGUUCGGGCCUAAGAGGUUUCUGGAUUUUGCAGGCGCGUGGCAGACGGCCUGGCGGUUCAAUUCUGCCAUCGCCUU